AACGAACGCUGGCGGCAGGGUUUAGGCAUGCAAGUCGCGCGAGAAAGGAGCAAUCCGAGUACAGCGGCGUAAGGGUGAGUAAUAGGUAGCCGACCUACCGUGCGGACGCGGAUAAUUCCCCGAAAGGGGUUGUAAUACGCGAUGAGACCACGUUGCUCACGGGCGAUGGGGUCAAAGGGCCUGGGAUCCUUCGGGACCAGGCGGCCGCAUGAGGGGGCGACCUCCGAUUAGCUAGUUGGCGGGGUAACGGCCCACCAAGGCGAUGAUCGGUAGCCGGGCUGAGAGGCUGUCCGGCCACACGGGCACUGAGACACUGGCCCGACUCCUACGGGAGGCUGCAGUCGCGAAUUUUUCACAAUGGGCGCAAGCCUGAUGAAGCCAUGCCGCGUGCGGGAUGAAGGCCCUCUGGGUUGUAAACCGCUGUCAGGGAAGGGAAUGUUCGUAGUUAACAGCUGCGGAUUUGACUGCUUUCCAAAGGAAGCCCCGGCAAAACAUGUGCCAGCAGCCGACGG
This 512-nucleotide ribosomal RNA is filed under the name uncultured bacterium. RNAcentral describes it as "bacterial SSU rRNA". It matches the Rfam family "Bacterial small subunit ribosomal RNA", at positions 28 to 520 of the family's 1533-position model. The record is from RNAcentral.